This 1188-nucleotide ribosomal RNA is filed under the name uncultured bacterium. Its description in RNAcentral is "bacterial SSU rRNA". It matches the Rfam family "Bacterial small subunit ribosomal RNA", at positions 33 to 1232 of the family's 1533-position model. The record is from RNAcentral.
GUGGACUGCGGGCGGGCUAUACAUGCAAGUUGAACGAGAUUGUUGGUAGCAAUACUGACAUGAAAGUGGCGCACGGGUGCGUAACACGUAUGUAACCUACCUUUAACUGGGGCAUAGCUUCGAGAAAUCGAAAUUAAUACCCCAUAACAUUUAGAAAAGGCAUCUUUUCUUUAUCAAAGUUCCGGCGGUUAAAGAUGGACAUGCGGUGCAUUAGCUUGUUGGUGAGGUAACGGCUCACCAAGGCUACGAUGCAUAGGGGGUCUGAGAGGAUGAUCCCCCACACUGGUACUGAGACACGGACCAGACUCCUACGGGAGGCAGCAGUAGGGAAUAUUGGGCAAUGGACGAAAGUCUGACCCAGCCACGCCGCGUGAAGGAUGACUGCCCUAUGGGUUGUAAACUUCUUUUGUAUGGGAAGAAAAUUCCGAACGUGUUCGGAGCUGACGGUACCAUAAGAAUAAGCAUCGGCUAACUCCGUGCCAGCAGCCGCGGUAAUACGGAGGAUGCAAGCGUUGUCCGGAUUCAUUGGGUUUAAAGGGUGCGUAGGCGGAGAUUUAAGUCAGUGGUGAAAGCUUACAGCUUAACUGUAAAAAUGCCAUUGAAACUGAAUUUCUUGAGUUCGAUUGAGGUAGAUGGAAUGUAUCAUGUAGCGGUGAAAUGCUUAGAUAUGAUACAGAACACCAAUUGCGAAGGCAGUCUACUAAGUCGAUACUGACGCUGAGGCACGAAAGCAUGGGGAGCAAACAGGAUUAGAUACCCUGGUAGUCCAUGCCCUAAACGUUGAUUACUCGUUGUUGGCGAUACACUGUCAGCGACUAAGCGAAAGCGUUAAGUAAUCCACCUGGGGAGUACGAUCGCAAGGUUGAAACUCAAAGGAAUUGACGGGGGCCCGCACAAGCGGUGGAGCAUGUGGUUUAAUUCGAUGAUACGCGAGGAACCUUACCAGGGCUUGAAAGUUAGUGACCGCUGCCGAAAGGUGGCUUCCCUUCGGGGCACAAAACUAGGUGCUGCAUGGCUGUCGUCAGCUCGUGCCGUGAGUGUGGGUAGUCCCGCAACGAGCGCAACCCCUAUCUCUAGUGCAUCAGUAUGCUGGGGACUCUAGAGAGACUGCUAUGUAUUAGUGAGAGGUGGGGACGACGUCAGUCAUCAUGGUCCUUACGUCCUGGGCUACCACCGUGCCUACCAAUG